Molecule: unclassified non-coding RNA, 489 nt
Filed under: Hevea brasiliensis (rubber tree)
Lineage: Eukaryota; Viridiplantae; Streptophyta; Magnoliopsida; Malpighiales; Euphorbiaceae
Source: RNAcentral
GAAAGAAAUAUACUUUUUUUUAAGUUAUGAAACUGUGGUGGUUAUCCGAAAUUGUCAGUGAUGCAUAAGUCGAAGAUUUACCGAGCUACUACUAUUGCUUGCCUGUUGAGCACCAAAACUCAGGGGUGGAUGAAGAAGCUCUGCUUGUGGAAAGGAGCUGUUUGACCUCACAUCCAGCAGGAGAUCCUGGUCAGAACUAUCCUCAUCGAAAUGCAGAGACUCCAGUGUGAAGGAACCACCAUCAGAAGGCAAAGCGAAUAAACUUCUUGGACUGAAGCACGAACCAUCGCUGUCCACAAGUUCCUUGCUUUCCACGCUUGCCUUUGUCAUCACCCUUUUGGGACUUUUCAUUGCAGUCCUUGUUUCUGAAAGCUUUUUGUUUUGGCCAUCAAGCACUCUCUUGUCAUUCAUAAAGCUACUUGAUGCAGCAGCAAAACCUUGAACAGACUCUCCACUACUAAAUUUCUUGAGUAGAUGAUAUCGCUCCAC